Gasterosteus aculeatus aculeatus (three-spined stickleback) is the source of this 1500-nucleotide long non-coding RNA. Lineage: Eukaryota; Metazoa; Chordata; Actinopteri; Perciformes; Gasterosteidae. The record is from Ensembl.
GGCGUCUCUUUGCCUGCGCUGAGCACUCCUGAAAUUCCACGCAGCUUCUCCCAUAUCUGUAUUUUCAGCAAAUUCAAAUUAAUUUCAGCUUUUCUAAUAUCUGUCAUUUCAGAAAAUGUAUUCAAAUUCCCUUCAACUUUCUGUAUUUUCAGCUAUUUUAAAAAAUUUGGUUCAGAUUUCAGCUUUUUGCAUUCCAACGCAUUUUCAGCAGGAAAUGCAUUUUCUAGUUUUAUUAGUAUUUCCCCAGGAGCAUUCUCUACUUCGCAUUUUAUACUAUAAACUUUUAAAAAAAUGAAUUAAAUAGUGCAACUAAUCGUCUUAAUUUCCCGGUGCUCUGCAGUGUAGUUUUAUCUGAAAACCAAUUACAUAUGUUGUCUAAUUCUCUGCUUAGUUCACAUUAACUUUGCCUUCAGUCAUACUGUUUGCAACACUGCAGUACUGUAAAAAGAACACGUGGGAGCGCUAGAGAUCCUUCCCUGUAGCCCAGCCAGCCCGUCAUUGAGCAUAUAGACAGCACCGAUUCUGUGAAUAUAUUUGUGAGGGUGGAAAGGCGGCAGACGAAGAAGGUACCCAGUGAGCACAAGACGUAAUUUCAACGUUGAAAUAUGGUUGAAAUCGGGUUGAAAUGAGGUCUGAACGUCUAAGACCUCAUUUCAACGUCUUUUCAACCGUCUAAAAAUGGGAUGAAACAUCAACGUGCCAGAAAACGUUAAUUUGUUGAUAAAUGUGUCAUGUUGUAACGUAAGGUUGAAAGAGAGACGAUAUUAACGUUAAGAUUUUCAUAAUAAUUAAUGAACUGGUCGGCGAAAUUUGGUCUACGCGAAGACGUAAUUUCAACGUAUUUACUAUUUCGCUUAAAACGUCAUAAAUAUGAAACUACGGACUGCGUGCUGUUAAUAAGAUGCGUUUAAGACAUAAUAAUGCGGGCAGGUUCAAACAUUACUUGUAAACACGUAACUCCGCUCACAUCUGUAACGCGCAUGCGCGAGUUCUUAGACGCCUGCAGAGCUCCGAGCGGACGCAGCACGAAGCGAAGUUACGGCAGCAGAGCGACAUGAACGGGCUGAUAGAACCACGACUACCGGCUCCACUGCUCUGUUUCUGCAGGUGGUGGUUGCAUCUGAUGGAGGUUACGUCUGAUGAUGGUUGUCCCUGCACUGGUCCUGCAUUACCCCUGGCUUAGUAAUCCACAAUAUUAGAAUCAUUUCUGUCGUAGGAAUUGGAUGUACUGUACAUCUUUAAAUUGUUCAUACUCUACACACCUACUGCCUUGCUGUUUUCUCCUCAGGUUUCUCCCGGUUGAAGGUUUUUUACAUUUUGGGGGUUUUAGGACAGGAUGUUGCAUGUUUACAGAUUGCAAAGCUGAACAAAAUAAAAUGAUUUGAAUUGAAUAAACACGUUGACCAGAGAAAUCUGCAAUUGAGGGCUGUUCUCUGCACUCUGACUCCCUUUACACAAAGAAUCAUCAAGUGAGGAUGAGGGAGAUGCAGCUGAUUUCAG